AUACGAGUAUGAUACGAGGUAUUAUACGAGUAUGUAUGAAUGAGGGUAUGUCGUAUAUAAUGAAUGAGUAUACGAGUUAGCAUACGAGAAGAAUACAUAGAUUAUACAUUAUAAGGCUUUAAGCCAAUUGUAUUGGAUUUGUAGGAUUUGUGUAGGAGUAGUACAAGCCCAAGUGAAUUAAUGUUAAGGCCCAAUGUUUGUUAAUGCAAGCCCAAAGAUUAAGUUAAAAGUUAU
This 234-nucleotide long non-coding RNA is filed under the name Panax ginseng (ginseng). RNAcentral's name for it is "long non-coding RNA (PGIN_LNC004456)". Lineage: Eukaryota; Viridiplantae; Streptophyta; Magnoliopsida; Apiales; Araliaceae. The record is from RNAcentral.